UGAAGGAAGAAGUAGAGUACAAUUACUAGGAGAAGGAGAGGCUGUAUUUGAGAAAGAAGAAGGAAAACACUACAGGAUUCCUGAUGAAUUUGCCGCCAUUUGACCUGCUGCUGCUAAUUAGCGUGGAGAGUUUUCGGAGGUUCGAAUCUCCCCGCCAAUUGACACUAUUCCAAACUAGAAUGAUAGGAGAAUUCAAUAAUUUUAAUUUAUUUUAGUAAACUAAAUUUAGUUCCCAAAUUUAG
Molecule: unclassified non-coding RNA, 242 nt
Filed under: Hevea brasiliensis (rubber tree)
Lineage: Eukaryota; Viridiplantae; Streptophyta; Magnoliopsida; Malpighiales; Euphorbiaceae
Source: RNAcentral